CUAUAGUUCAAAUUAAAUAUUAAUUAUUAAUGUACAGUUUAUUUCAAAAUUUAUUCAACAGGUAAGUUAGUGCUGUUCGACUUAUACGUCCUGACAAUAUCUUUUACCUUUUUGCCUUCCUAAUGGUUUAUUAUAUUAGAUAAGAGUACUUGUAUGUACCCCAUUCACUUUUCCUUUUAGCUUUAUUAAGAAACUUUCUAACAUUAAGCCUAAGACUGAUAAGCUGUGUAGUGGGUUUCAGGAUACUAUAGCCUUUUUUGAACACUACAGUUGAUUAAAUUUACACAGAUAUUAAAUAAUAACUUUAAUAUUUACAUCGGAGUAUAUAUAGACAUACUAAAUACAAUGACGAGAACGAACACGUGUGUCCAACAUGGAGAGACGAUAUCCGAGGUGAGUCUUGCGUGUGUCGAGGAGGUCGGCAAAAGUGAAGGUAAAGGGGCCGCGUUGACCCGGGGCAUGUGCUCUCUUCAGGAGGUGAAGCGCCAUCUAGGAGGACCACCUGUGAUGACAUCGACUGGUGAGGGAGUUGCUGCAAGCUGUUUAUAAGACUGAUGAGCCAGCUUUUUAACUGGACAGUUUAUGUGGUAGGAUAAGAAAACUGCCUGUUGAAUCUGGUCAGCAGUCAUCUCUAAAUCCACCACCAAGCAAAAUCUGCUCUGUAUACCCCUCAGAUUAAAUCUAAAGUCUUCCCUAAAGGAAGUUCAAUUAGUCCUCCGAGGGUCUCUGUAUG
This 733-nucleotide long non-coding RNA is filed under the name Androctonus crassicauda. The record is from RNAcentral. Lineage: Eukaryota; Metazoa; Arthropoda; Arachnida; Scorpiones; Buthidae.